AAAUAUUACUUUUCUUCCCAUUAUCUUGGUAUUCUUCCAUUCAUUAAGAAAAAGAACGAAGGAAAAUCUGAGAACUCGAUAUUGGAAUUCUUGCAUGUUGAACUUGUUGGAAUUCCGGUGAUGAUGUCCGAUCAAAACCCUAAACCCUAAAUCCUGAUCUAUCUAUUGGUAUUUUACUGUUCUUCCCAUUAUCUAGAUAUUAAGGUAAAAUUCAAGAACUCGAUUUUGCAUCUUGAAAUUCAAGAACUCGAUAAUUACAUAUUGAAUUUUUUAACAAUUCAAAGAAAAUCCGAGAACUGGAUAUUGGAAUUCUUGGAUGCUGAAUUUGUUGGAAUUCCGGUGAUGAAUCUAUUGGUAUUCUUGAGAAGACUCGAUUUUGCAUGUUGGAAUUCAAGGACACUUGUGGUGUUUUUCAAGAAAAUUAAAGAAGUUAUUUAAAAAAAAGUUAAGUUAUGUUGUCAUCCUGGUAGUGUAUAUUAAGUAUGUUAAAGAAUUUGUUUCCCCUAUUUUCCCCGACUUGACUGAAAUUGUUAAGUCCAGGCAUGCAAAUUGCUGUUAACGAGUAUGCUAAAUCCAUUCUUGGGUUGCAAGAUGUGAACAGUACAGAGUUUGAUCCCAACACUCACAAUCCUUGUGUAAUUUUUAUGCCGAAAGUUAAGUUCUGAUACUUACCUUUCAUCAUGAAUUUCCUUGUUUGUCAAUUAAAACAUGUCACUUGUUCAUUUUUGUUUCAUGUUAGAUGUUCAAUGAACUUGCCAGAAAUGAUGUGCAUCAUUUAACUCCCUUUGUUUUCACCAUUGACACUGACUCUGUUAAUCUAUUUUGAUGUGUUUUUCAAGAAUCUCUUGUGGUGACAAGUUGGUUCUUAAUGGUACUUGUAGGAUUGGCGCCCCAUCCUUCUCUUUGAUGAGGACACUGUUGCGAAUCAUUUUGUAAAGGGUUGGUUAGUAGAAGAGAGAGUUACUUAUGCAUCAGAUAGUGCAAAGAAUUUCAGCGUUAUGCUAUCGUGUAAUUUAUUACUUUCUUUCUCUUAAGCUACUUUUGAAAAACCUAGAUAGAAUAAUGUUUAACCUACAGAGGAUGAUUUCCUGUUAAACAUGAAGUUGUUAUCACGUAUAAUUAUUGAAACAUGGAAUAUAAUCUCUUGGUCCCUGCCAUAAAUCAUUUGGAAAAAGAGGACUGCAAAGUUUGAUCUCAAUUUUAUGUUAUUUCUAGGGAGGAUAUGGCCAUAAUAGGGAGACUUGGUCCAUGGGAUGUUUAUGGUUCAGAUCCUUCUGAAUUCUAUUAUGAUGGAGAUGAUUUGACACAUGCAUUCUCAUGGUGAAGAGAUUCUUAAGAAUUAUUUGAUACCAAAAGCUAUGCUCUCCUCUAGGGUGGAUGGGGACUCACAUAUAUAGAUUGAUGCUGGAAAUCGAGGUAAAACAGAUGAGCUUAUAUGGAAGAAGAAGAAGAGUAGAAGAAGUCAUUCAGCUCUUCCAUUUUACCAAGGCAAAAAGAAGUUCUUUGCCACGAGUGAGUCUUUAAGAAAGGCAGCAGAAAAUAAAAAUAUUAAGAUUGUUCAUGAUGUGCCACUCAUGCCGGAAACUAGAGCUGUAAGGAGACUGCAUCAUUCUGUAGAAGCUAUCUACUUGGAGCUUCACGGCAGUCAUCCCAUCAAUGUGAUCAAUCUUCCACCCUAAGUUAAGGUCAAGUGUGAAACUGAAACUUGUUGAUAUUUGGAAUAGCAAAUUACAAGCUCUAGGGGAGUGCACAAGCGCGCACACGAUGGGGAGUCAAAAGAAAGUAAACUAUUUCUGCCAUUUGUUCCUGACGUGAAUAAGAACUGAAUUUUUCUACUGCAUGUUUCAGUUAAUUAGCUUCAUUUCUUUCACCCACUUUUCAAGAUUAUCUUAGAAUAUUCUUAUUAAUCCUGAAAGCAUUAGAGAUUAUAAUGUCUUUUUCUAAGUCUCCUAGGCCACAAAGUCUCUUUCAAACUCUAUCUUGCUUAUGUUCUGAUCUUGUAAUAGAAUUGUCAUGCCUGACAUUUUUUAUUCAAAUUUUCAGAAUUUGCACCAACAAAAACUGAAAGUUUCUUACUGAAGGAAAGGAGUGAUAUAGGGUGCUUUGUCUUUUGCUUCAUCACUUUGUGGCUGUCUGGAGGAGUUUAUCCUUGUGUAGAUACUUGGGCCCAUGUUGAAAUAAAUCAUGCUGCAGAUGAGUGUAUUCGUUUGGAAGAACUGCUGGGAAGGUCAUUCCUGAAAUUGGUUACCAAUUAUUACACAACUAUGAGGACCAAAUUCAAAACUGAGGUUGGAUCUGCAACAUUCAUUCUCAAUCUUCAAGAUCAUUUACCAGGUAAGUUAUAUCUUUGUUUAGAUUUUCAUCACACAAUCAGUCUAUGGAACUUGAUAAAAAUGCCAUUUACCAAAAUUUCCAUUGCACUAAAUUUUGCAAUCUUCAUUAAAGUUAAACCUAACUCCUGAGCAUGAAGUUAUAUGAUUUGGAUAAAGCAGAAACUUAAAUCUGAUUCACAAGCAGCCAACAUCUGUCAUACUUCUUGCGGUAACAUUCUCUAAUACUUGUUUCUGUCAUAUAAUACAUUCAAAAAGUAAAGUACAUGCAAACCAUAUUUGCAAAUUAGUCUGAGAAGGGAAAGGUAUUCUUGUACUGAUUGUAGUUGUUAAUACAGAAGUAGUUACUCACCUAGAUUCUCAUACCUUUUACUACAGUUUAUAGAUUAUUCUCUUCAACAUUUAUAUUCCUCCUUGUGGUGGAUGUAUGCAUGUCUAAAUGUGGAAAACAAAGCAUGACAAGCACUUCUUCUGAAUAGCACAGUUUAUAUCAGUUCUGUGCUCCAUCUUGUUGAAAGCAAGAAAGAUUUUGAAGGUUUAAGGCUUUCAUGUGUCAUUUGUGCGCAUUGUCUCUUCAAGGUCCAUUUUAUGUUUUUGUCAACUGUAAAUCCAUAGCCACCUUCUGGGAAGGGUUCUAUUUCUUUUAAGCCUCCCACUGGACAAGAGAACUAGUUACAUUAAAAAAUGUUGAAUCAACCUAUAACUUCUAUGAGCUUUCUUGCUAUUCCAUUUUAUGUUUAAUUGUAGCAAGUGAAUUAUGAAUUGUAACUUAAAAGUAAAUUGUGAAUUGUAACUUGUAAGGGAAGAGUUUUUUAAUUCUAAUACCAUCAGUAACUAGACAAUGCUAGAGGUUCUUUCUUUUUGAAUUAUAAGGCCUUGAAGCUUGAAUAGCUUCCAACAUAAUUUGGAAAACUAUUCAUGACAUCAUUCAUGUUUUAGGAAAUACUCCACUAGCUAACUAGAUUCUUUUGCACUUGUUUCAUAAGAAAAUGAUUAUUUUCUAGAUAAUAAUAUAGGUUUCGUGUAUUUUGGGCAAUAAUCUAAGUGUUGUGGGUAUGUUAGAAUUUAUUCAACAGGUUAGUCCAUCGACUCUAACUAGCUCUCUUAUUUUACUCCUCCAUUUAAUUCUAAUCUUGCUUAAGUUCUUGCUUAAAUGUCGUGUCAUGGAUUAUCAAUAUAGUUAAAUUCUCUCUUCCAUGUCCUUCCCUCCCACGAAAAAUAGGAAAAGGGAACAUAUUGUACAGUUUCCAUGUAAAGGCAGAGUAACAAACUGUUUAUAGAAUUUGAGCUAAAUGAAAGAAAAAAGGUAACGCAACAGAAACAAAAUCCUAAAUAACCUUGGGAAACAUGUUGUCCUCUAUAAAUACAGAAAGCCUCUUUAGAGCUUUGCAUUACAAACCAAAUUACUCUGCUACUAUGUAGACCAUCUUCCCUUUUCCAUUACUCAUUCCUGCUUCUCAAUGGCUUCCCUUAGCAGUUGUUAUUGUUUGUUGCUUUUCUUAUUACUUUGUACCCGUCUUCUUUCUUUCUCUCUUGCUAAAGAAACUGUACACAUUGGUCCCUUUAAUUCCAUGUACAAUUUUGGAGAUAAUGGUCAUUCCUCUUCAUCAGCCCCUAUCAUAUUGCUGCAACCAUCAAUUUGACUUCUCCCAACCAUUCACCCAAUGAGGCAUCUUGUUUUAAUUUUGCGCAACCCUUGGAGCAACCUACUGUCAUGGAACCCUAUUUCUUCCUCAAGAAUGGCAUCCCACCGCCUCCCCAGUCUCAUGAUCUAACACAGAUUAUCACAUUCAUGAAGUUCUUCUAUAAAUACUGCUCCUUUCUAUAGGACUGCGCCAAAAACAAAUUUCUUCAGAAAGCCCUCAUCUUUAUGGAUCAGCCCAGCAUCAACGACUAAAAGCAUGCCUUCUUACAUGGAAAAUCUAUUUUUGAGGCAUCCCAUCUCGUGCCUGAGACCGUUAAGAAUUCAAUUGGAAAAACUCAUCAAAGAAGCUGGAGCUGAAACUGCUAAUGUUUCUGGAAUUCUACCCAUCGGCUGUUUUCUGGGUUAUCGGACUGAGGGCGAUUCAAUUGGAAAAUGCAGAUGCCACGAGGGAUUGAAUAUGUACUCGAAGCUUCACAAUGAGCACCUUUGGCAAGCAAUUCGGGAGCUGCGUUUGAAAUACCCUGAUGUUCACAUCAUAUACGCAGAUUACUAAAAAGCGUUCACAGCUGUUCUUAAAAACCACACCUUCUAGACAAAGAAUUUGAUGAAGGCAUGUUGUGGUAGGGGCGAUGGUCCGUUGAACUUUGGAUUUCGACCGACCCCUGAUACUUUGGAGAACCUGAUUGACACUCUUGAGCCAAAAAGUAUUCAUAUUUCCAGAAUUCAAGUUUGGAGAAGAAACAACAGCACAGCAGUAGAAAGGCAUCAUUCCAGGUUUCGUGAAGGAGUUAAAGAAAUGUCUUGUAUUGUUAGGCAUUUACUCUUCGUCUAAGACGGCUUUAUUCCCACAAGAUAUCUUAAUCCAAAGGGUGGAAUGAUACGUUGGGAUGGAGAAGAAAUUGGUCAUUUUUACGGUAAUUAAAUUGACCAAAUAGUCAUUUGAUGCAUUUGCCAAGUAAUGGCAAGUUGUAUAGGCAAACGUCAUUUCCCAAGUGCUUUCCAAAUAUAUUUGGGGCCAAACGGGUCCUUAGAAUUACAAUUUUUUUGUGGUCUUGAA
This is a long non-coding RNA of Solanum tuberosum (potato), 5032 nucleotides long. RefSeq lists it as uncharacterized. The record is from RefSeq and is a predicted model, not a curated record. NCBI's taxonomy places the organism in Eukaryota, Viridiplantae, Streptophyta, Magnoliopsida, Solanales, Solanaceae. The transcript is spliced from 5 exons.